UACGUAGGGUGCGAGCGUUAAUCGGAUUUACUGGGCGUAAAGCGUGCGCAGGCGGCCCGUUAAGACAGGUGUGAAAUCCCUGGGCUCAACCUAGGAAUUGCGCUUGUGACUGGCGGGCUCGAGUACGGUAGAGGGGGGUGGAAUUCCUGGUGUAGCAGUGAAAUGCGUAGAGAUCAGGAGGAACACCGAUGGCGAAGGCAGCCCCCUGGGCCUGUACUGACGCUCAUGCACGAAAGCGUGGGGAGCGAACAGG
RNAcentral lists this ribosomal RNA (253 nucleotides) under uncultured microorganism. RNAcentral describes it as "partial 16S ribosomal RNA". It matches the Rfam family "Bacterial small subunit ribosomal RNA", at positions 524 to 776 of the family's 1533-position model. The record is from RNAcentral.